Molecule: long non-coding RNA, 575 nt
Organism: Papilio polytes (common Mormon)
Lineage: Eukaryota; Metazoa; Arthropoda; Insecta; Lepidoptera; Papilionidae
Exons: 1
Source: RefSeq, a predicted model, not a curated record
CAGCCCGCCGCCCCGCACUCUGCACUCAAUUCUCGUUGUGAACAGACGCUUUUUAAACUUAUAUAAAAUGGUGAUGAAACUAUCGUCCGUCGCUCUGUACGAUGUGUACCCUACAUUGCCCAAAUCCCACGGCCGUCAGAUGGAUUGCGCUGAAUCUAAGCGGCAGAAGAUUUCCAACGCUCUGCCGGCGUUAGUAGAAGAUGAUUCUGAAGUGGAAUUGGAGCAGGAGCACUGCCACGUGCUGCGAGCUGAAGGUAUUCGGCGACAGAAGCUGAUCUCGACGAAGCGUCGCGAGAGACUGCAGCGGACGCUAGUCCUACCUUCGCUGUCAGAAGACGAGGAACCUUGAACUAAAGUCAAUGGAACUUGGAUCAAGUUUAACGCCUUAAGGGCAAGCAGCUCCGCACGGGGCCAAUGGAAGUGAUACUCACAGUCAACAGAUGGCAGUGAUGGACAGUCGGAACAUUGGCAGUGACUAAGUGAAGUGUUUGAAAAAAGUAAAAUAAAAGUUUGUAGCAUUAGAAUAAGGAAAUGUGUUAUUUAUGUAAAAGAUAAUAAAUGUGUUUAAAUACAAA